This 420-nucleotide ribosomal RNA is filed under the name uncultured bacterium. RNAcentral describes it as "bacterial SSU rRNA". It matches the Rfam family "Bacterial small subunit ribosomal RNA", at positions 358 to 795 of the family's 1533-position model. The record is from RNAcentral.
GGAAUUUUCCGCAAUGGGCGAAAGCCUGACGCAGCCAUGCCGCGUGAAUGAUGAAGGUCUUAGGAUUGUAAAAUUCUUUCACCGGGGACGAUAAUGACGGUACCCGGAGAAGAAGCCCCGGCUAACUUCGUGCCAGCAGCCGCGGUAAUACGAAGGGGGCUAGCGUUGCUCGGAAUUACUGGGCGUAAAGGGAGCGUAGGCGGACAUUUAAGUCAGGGGUGAAAUCCCGGGGCUCAACCUCGGAAUUGCCUUUGAUACUGGGUGUCUUGAGUAUGAGAGAGGUGUGUAGAACUCCGAGUGUAGAGGUGAAAUUCGUAGAUAUUCGGAAGAACACCAGUGGCGAAGGCGACACACUGGCUCAUUACUGACGCUGAGGCUCGAAAGCGUGGGGAGCAAACAGGAUUAGAUACCCCAGUAGUC